UGAAAUCUUUAACCCAUUUUGGAAAAUUGAGCAUAACUCCUAAUUUCUCAGUCUUACUGAAAUAAUGUCCCUCCACACCUUUGAGCAUCCCCCAGUUACCUCCCUAGGUGGAACCCAUUGAGAAUCCCCAUAGCCAUAUUUUGCAGUGAUAACACUUCUCCACAAUGCCUCUCUUUCAAUCCCAUGCCUCCACCACUUCAACAACAAGCAAUCAUUCAUCACUCUAAUUUUCC
RNAcentral lists this long non-coding RNA (233 nucleotides) under Actinidia chinensis (golden kiwifruit). RNAcentral's name for it is "long non-coding RNA (ACHI_LNC005249)". Lineage: Eukaryota; Viridiplantae; Streptophyta; Magnoliopsida; Ericales; Actinidiaceae. The record is from RNAcentral.